This is a long non-coding RNA of Heterocephalus glaber (naked mole-rat), 4151 nucleotides long. RefSeq lists it as uncharacterized. The record is from RefSeq and is a predicted model, not a curated record. NCBI's taxonomy places the organism in Eukaryota, Metazoa, Chordata, Mammalia, Rodentia, Bathyergidae.
GGGGCAUGGAAACAUCACUUGGUUGCAUGAGCUGCUCAUUCUGUUUUGCAGAAACAGUAAUAUAUUUGGUUUCCCACUUACCUGCCAGAGUGGGUUAGAAUGAAUGAGACUAGAUCUGUCUGGAGAAAGAGGUUAUUUGGACAUCCAGUCUGGUUUCCUCAAAUAGGGCAGCAGAAAGUUGCCAGGGCUCCCCCAAAGGCCAGGCGAGCCCAGGAGACUGGAGCAUUACGCUUUACUCAGACAGUGGAGACCACGCCUGUCUCCCCAAACAGCCCUGUGUGUGUCUGCCUUGAUGAUGCAUUUGUGCCGGUCGGGGAGUUGGACCUGCAGCAGAAGCAAAUGGUUGCCAGUCACCACUUUCCAUACAGAGCAUCAGCCAUGCAGGCUUCUGACUCACACUACACUCACCUGCACUCCGAGACUCGGGCACAGGGAGCUCCGGCUUCCCAGUGUGCUUCCCUUAGUAAUUACAGAGGCCCCCAACACUGCAGCUCACACAGAGCCUGGCCUUUGUGGCUGGAGUCGGACCCCAACACUCUGCUCCCCAAUCGCAUGCCCAGGGUGUGCACUGCCUUCUCUCAUUCUCCUCCCACUGAGGCACUUCCCAGCUGAGUUCUGCCUUGCCAUGCCCCACAUCUCCCACAAGGGGGAGCCCCCGGAGGGCAACUGGGGCUGAGGAAUUUUGGAAGCGCUGAAGUUUUCGACUCCUGUCCUGCAACUGGUUUUCACUCACCCAACGGUGAGAUUUCUUUGUUGCAGUGUUGGAGUCUGAGAUAACACUGCCGGAAGCUGCAGGCGAGAACCUUAGCUCAUUCUAUCUUUUAUUGUGUGUUGUUGUUUACCAGCAUUCUAAACUAAGAAGGAAAAGUAAUAAAGACAUGCAGGACUCACAGGCCCUGGAUGAAGACUGCCAGCCUCAGACAGAACCAGCACGUCUGAGGGACAACCAGGAGGUGCCUUUGGCUGUGGAGCUCAGGAUAUGAAUCAGAGAGAAAGAACUGAAGACUUGUCCCAGGAAGAAAGGGGAGGACUGGCAGUAGAUUUUUCACUGGUUUGUCUUUGGAAAAGACUGAGAAGAACUGUUCAAGGUGAAAUGAAGAUAUAGAAGAAACAACCGUGAUCUGUUUAGUUGUGAAUGGGCUCUUGUUGGAAGACAGAGGACUGAGUCCCAUAUCUUCAACUUUUAUAUUUGGAGAUACUAAAGUACAGUUUUGCUCAGUUACCCAGCAAGUGCUUCUUGGUCACCCUUGGGUCUACUAGGUGCUGGAAGGACAUUCCAAUGGCAAGUGCUAUAUCCUGGAAACCUCUUCAGUCCUAGGAAAAUUCAAGGAGAUUGGUCACCCUAAUACCUGCUGUUUUACUGUGUUCGCCACAUAGGCAAUAGAUAUAAAGACACCAGUGAAUUAUUUGAAGAUAUGGGUCUACAAGAUGGAUGCAGAUUUAAAAAAUAAGAUUCCUAAGAAUUUACCUUUUUCAGCUCCCACUCUGUUCUCCAGGAGACACAGGGGCAGGAAGAACAUAGCAUGCUCAUUAACGCUGAUGACCCUGACCUGACUGGAACCCAAGAUGGCGUGUUGGCCAGCAGCGUGGAAUCAGUGGAUUCUUCAAUGGAGACAGGUCGAAUUGUGUCACAUCCAGGAAGUCACUUCUGUGAAUGAUAAUUCUAUAGUGUUUCACUGCUUGUGCACUUUCCUCAUGUUCAUGUUCUCAGAGAUAUGAAAUGGCACAAGGUAAAUUAGCACAGAAGAUUUGGGGCCGGGGCAUGACAAAUUAAAAGCAUGACUGAAAGUAGCUUAUGAUAUUGAUGGAAUUCUCUGUGGACUGGGGAUGAUGUGACUAGAGAAAGAAGAAAGCUGCUGAAGUUUUCCAAGAGGUGAAGAGAAAAAGAAAUUACAUGAAGACAAUAGUGAAAGCAGAGAAGGGACAGAUAGAAGAUAUGCUGCACAGAAGAGCAAUAGGAUUCUAUAACUAAAAAUGGAUUUGGGGAGGGAGGAGCAGAAGGGCUGAAGCAAAGAUAACACAUACAAUUUAAAUCUGGAACUAUGAUGCAUAGUGGAUGUAAACUAGAAGAUUGGUAAAUGGAUCUGGUUUAGGUGUGGUUAGGUUUAUUGUUUUUGUAUUUAGCAUAAUGGUGUUGAGUGACUCCUAGUUGAGAGCGUAAGACUUGCCAUUACUAGCAUAAAAAGAAGGGUUUUCUAAGGAGUGAGAUUUUCAGGUAGAAACUUACAGGGCUUCCUUUGUGUCACAGUAGGACUGUAGGAUCCCAGCAGCUGUCAGAACCCUUUGGUUUUUUAGCACAUAAGUGCUUACUGUAAAAGUGAUCCUUUCCAAUGGAACUAAGGGUCACUUAGCUCUGCAGAUCCACUUCAGAUGUUGCAAAUGGUAAAUAUGGUUAGGAAAAUCUUGGAAAUGGAAGUUGGCUAAGAUAAAAUAUGCCCAAGUCAUAGAAUGAGUCAUAGGAAUAAAAUCUUGAAUAUCCUAUUUAGCCAUCAGCAAAUAUCCUGACAAAGCUAUCUACCUACUUUUAAAUAGAACAGCCUUUUUAUGCUUUUCUUUCAAUAGAUACUCAAUUUAUGGUCCUACUGCCUCCCUACACACACACACACACACACACACACACACACAGAAAAAUGAGUUCAAAAAGAGAAUGAAAAAUAUAUUAACUUGAAACCUGAUUAAUCAGCUUUAGGAGAAGAUCCUAUUAUCAUUAAGCUCUUGAUCAUCAUCAUACUCACACAUUCAUUGAAUGCCUGAUUGUGGUUAUACAAAGAACAUACACACACACACACACACACGCACACACAAAUAAAUACAGAGCAGAAGUCACAUGGGCCUGUCCUCUCUGGGUUUAUGGACCCUAUGUAUAAGAGAGAAAACACAGGUAAAUGGCCAUAUAAAAGUGUUUACAUGAGUCCCUCUGCAAUUACAUUUGCAAGGCCGCAGCUAUCCUAUUUUAUCAAGGAAUGUAAUCUCCUGUUGUCUGAGUCACUUCUCUGGUCGGGGAGACAUACUACCCAACACUCACAAUUUGAAGGUGAGAGGUUUAUUUUGGCUCAUAAUUCAGUCCAUAGCUGGCUGACUCCAAAGCAAGACGGCAUGGCACAGGCGCAUGGUAGAUGUCUGAGCAGUGGGGAAGCAGAGAGGGAGUGAAGAGAGGAGCUGGGAUGGGAGGUAUAUCUUUCCAGGUCAAACCCCCAUUAACCCAUCUCUUCUGAUCAGAUCCCACCUCCUAACAGCAAGUCAACUAUAAUGCUCUCAUGAUCCAAUCACCUUUCAAAACUCCAGCCUGUGAGCACAUGAAACUUUUAGGGAACAUCUAGAUAUAAACCAUAACAUCUAUAUAAGUAAAAUUUUAUAAGAAGCAAAGCUUACCUAUUAGGCAUUACAGAAGCUUCUGGCUUUUCAGUCAGUAUAAACAGUUUCUAGCACUUCACUCACUUAAUGGCUAAGGGGCAUCCUUAGGAACAUUCUGUGUUGAUGAAUUCUGUGCUCUCAGUUGCCUUUCUUUGCCUUUUAUCUUUCAGUCAUUUUGGUCUUCAACUGUGGCAGCUACUUUUCCAGGUCUUCACGUGCCAGCCCCUCAGCUGAUCUCCCACUUCACUGGUGAUAUAUUACUCCAGAACAUCUUCAUCCCUACAAAGAAAGUUAACCAGGAUUGUCAUACAAUUGAAAUGGGCCAAUAAUUCUGAGUGAGGCUCCAAGGAGAAAGGCAGCUGGGUGUUGUGGAGAGAUCGAGAUAGCUGCUUGGAACAUUCUAAAGUGUUCUCUAGUAUUAGAUUAGAUGCGGUAAUGCUAGAGUAUUUAGGUAUUCUAAAGUAUCUCCAGCUCAGCCUCCAGAAAGCUGAAGUUGAAGAAAUACUGGUCUCUGGAUGAGAGAGCCGCUGCUGUCUUCACACUGGAGAUUAUUAGCUCCCAAGUUACCUCCUAAUUUAGGGAUAGAAAACAAGAGUAUCAUUCUGGAAAGUGGAGAUAUGAUAGACAUUCCUGAAAUCAACCUGAUAAAAUAAAAAAAAUUACAUAAUGUAACAGUAUAAAAAAUAAAGAUAUCCUACUCCUGUCCUGCAUGCCUUCUCCAAAAUACACAUGUAUAUUGUUAAUUUCCCUGAAGGUCAUUUUCUUACAUCAGAGUAAAGUGGUUUUUCACUCCACCA